UUUAGAUCUUUCAUUCACAUAUGUAUACUCACCAAGUGAACAUAUGGCACAAAAUAUCCAAAAAGUGCAAUUGGAAUUCCAAUGGCCCACACUGCAUAAGCAGUCACCUUGAAGAUGGCAAAAUUGAAAAUUCUUUUUGGAGGAUUGAACUUUCUC
Long non-coding RNA from Perognathus longimembris pacificus (Pacific pocket mouse), 156 nucleotides. RefSeq lists it as uncharacterized. The transcript has 3 exons. The record is from RefSeq and is a predicted model, not a curated record. Lineage: Eukaryota; Metazoa; Chordata; Mammalia; Rodentia; Heteromyidae.